GAAGCACUGCAUCCUCGAUGUCUCGGCCAAUGCCGUGCGGCGGCUGCAGGCGGCCCACCUGCACCCCAUCGCCAUCUUCAUCCGUCCCCGCUCCCUGGAGAAUGUGCUAGAGAUCAAUAAGCGGAUCACAGAGGAGCAAGCCCGGAAAGCCUUCGACAGAGCCACGAAGCUGGAGCAGGAGUUCACAGAGUGCUUCUCAGCCAUCGUAGAGGGCGACAGCUUUGAAGAGAUCUAUCACAAAGUGAAACGUGUCAUUGAAGACCUCUCAGGCCCCUACAUCUGGGUCCCAGCCCGAGAGAGACUCUGAUUCCUGCCCUGGCUUGGCCUGGACUCACCCUGCCUCCACCACAUGGGCCCUUGGUGUGGACUGAAUAGCCCAAGUCCUUUGUACCCCAGCCUCCCUUCCCACCCUUCUUAUUUAUUUCCGUUUGCAUGAGUGGAAGGUCUAACUGUGGCUUUUUUUUUUUUCCUGGGAUUUUAUUUUAUUUUAUUUCAUUUUAUUUUUUUGGGAAAAGGGGAGGGAUGGGUCUAGGGAGUGGGGAAUAUGGGAGGGGGGUGGGGGGGCAAGGGGUCAGGGGUUGGGUGUCCGGGAGCCAGGGGAGGACAGGAAAUGCUGCCGCCUUCUGCAAUUUAUUUAUUUUUUCUUUUGAGAGAGUGAAAGGAAGAGACAGACACUUG
Molecule: long non-coding RNA, 678 nt
Filed under: Rattus norvegicus (Norway rat)
Lineage: Eukaryota; Metazoa; Chordata; Mammalia; Rodentia; Muridae
Description: long non-coding RNA NONRATT004477
Source: RNAcentral